RNAcentral lists this unclassified non-coding RNA (339 nucleotides) under soil metagenome. RNAcentral's name for it is "partial contains 5.8S ribosomal RNA, internal transcribed spacer 2, and large subunit ribosomal RNA". The stretch from base 1 to 120 matches the Rfam family "5.8S ribosomal RNA", at positions 35 to 154 of the family's 154-position model. The record is from RNAcentral.
GAUGAAGAACGUAGCGAAAUGCGAUAAGUAAAGCGAAUUGCAGAAUUCCGUGAGUCAUCGAAUCUUUGAACGCACAUUGCGCCCUCUGGUAUUCCGGAGGGCAUGCCUGUCUGAGCGUCAUUGUCAACCCUCAAGCUCAGCUUGCUGUUGGGUCCCCGUCGUUGCUUUAACGGCGGACCCGAAAGGUAAUGGCAGAGUCCGUGAGACCCUAGACGCAGCGAGCUUCUAGCACGCGUCUGGACGUUUUUCGGGCUCGGUCUUAACUAGAUGAUAACUUCCGAUUGACCUCAGAUCAGGUAGGGAUACCCGCUGAACUUAAGCAUAUCAAUAAGCGGAGGA